UGGCUCAGAGUGAACGCUGGCGGGCGUGCUUAACACAUGCAAGUCGAACGAGAACGGAUUAUAGCUUGCUAUAAUUGUCAGCUAAGUGGCGCACGGGUGAGUAAUGUAUAGGUAAUAUGCCUCUUACUAAGGGAUAACAAAUGGAAACGUUUGCUAAUACCUUAUACUCCUUAUUAACAGAAGUUAAUAAGGGAAAGAUUUAUUGGUAAGAGAUUAGCCUGUAUUGUAUCAGUUAGUUGGUGGGGUAAUGGCUUACCAAGACUAUGACACAUAACUGGUUUGAGAGGAUGAUCAGUCACACUGGAACUGAGACACGGUCCAGACUCCUACGGGAGGCAGCAGUGGGGAAUAUUGCACAAUGGACGAAAGUCUGAUGCAGCAACGCCGCGUGGAGGAUGACACAUUUCGGUGCGUAAACUCCUUUUAUAUGAGAAGAUAAUGACGGUAUUAUAUGAAUAAGCACCGGCUAACUCCGUG
RNAcentral lists this ribosomal RNA (477 nucleotides) under uncultured bacterium. RNAcentral's name for it is "bacterial SSU rRNA". It matches the Rfam family "Bacterial small subunit ribosomal RNA", at positions 20 to 507 of the family's 1533-position model. The record is from RNAcentral.